RNAcentral lists this unclassified non-coding RNA (209 nucleotides) under uncultured fungus. Its description in RNAcentral is "sequence contains ITS1, 5.8S rRNA gene". The record is from RNAcentral. Lineage: Eukaryota; Fungi.
CCACACACGAUCCAAGAUCGACACUUUUUGUGAACUGUAAACUUUUUAUUGAUAUUCUUAGGUGAAAGCAUACCCUUCGGGUAUGUGGAAGUCUGGGAGUAUUGAUGAAACUUUUAAACACCAAACCUUAAACAAAAAUGAUUUAUACAUUGGAACUUAAAUGUUAUAGCAAGUUCGUCUUGAUAUAACGCUAGAUUAUAAUUGUAAAA